AGUGAACGCUGGCGGUAGGCCUAACACAUGCAAGUCGAACGGCAGCACAGUAAGAGCUUGCUCUUACGGGUGGCGAGUGGCGGACGGGUGAGGAAUACAUCGGAAUCUACUUUUUCGUGGGGGAUAACGUAGGGAAACUUACGCUAAUACCGCAUACGACCUACGGGUGAAAGCAGGGGAUCUUCGGACCUUGCGCGAUUGAAUGAGCCGAUGUCGGAUUAGCUAGUUGGCGGGGUAAAGGCCCACCAAGGCGACGAUCCGUAGCUGGUCUGAGAGGAUGAUCAGCCACACUGGAACUGAGACACGGUCCAGACUCCUACGGGAGGCAGCAGUGGGGAAUAUUGGACAAUGGGCGCAAGCCUGAUCCAGCCAUACCGCGUGGGUGAAGAAGGCCUUCGGGUCGUAAAGCCCUUUUGUUGGGAAAGAAAAGCAGCAGGUUAAUACCCCGCUGUUCUGACGGUACCCAAAGAAUAAGCACCCGCUAACUUCGUG
Molecule: ribosomal RNA, 492 nt
Filed under: uncultured bacterium
Lineage: Bacteria
Description: partial 16S ribosomal RNA
Rfam family: Bacterial small subunit ribosomal RNA
Source: RNAcentral